Molecule: small RNA, 182 nt
Filed under: Cyphellophora europaea CBS 101466
Lineage: Eukaryota; Fungi; Ascomycota; Eurotiomycetes; Chaetothyriales; Cyphellophoraceae
Description: A. fumigatus sRNA Afu_182
Rfam family: A. fumigatus sRNA Afu_182
Source: Rfam by way of RNAcentral
AUAUGAACAACGCAAAUUUCAACCUUCCUGCAAAAGCGUUCCUACGAGGUCGCCAUCCAGUGAUCCAUGAUGUACGGAAAUCGUCUAUUGGAAUGGAGAUCAACCAUUAUGGCCGAUCUUGGGUGCAGUGCCAGCCAUAGUUGCAAAGCUCGUGGCUGGGACUGCAAUGAUUGACCGCACAU